This 425-nucleotide ribosomal RNA is filed under the name uncultured bacterium. RNAcentral describes it as "partial 16S ribosomal RNA". It matches the Rfam family "Bacterial small subunit ribosomal RNA", at positions 354 to 796 of the family's 1533-position model. The record is from RNAcentral.
GUGGGGAAUAUUGGGCAAUGGGCGAAAGCCUGACCCAGCAACGCCGCGUGAAGGAAGAAGGUUUUCGGAUCGUAAACUUCUAUCCUUGGUGAAGAUAAUGACGGUAGCCAAGAAGGAAGCCCCGGCUAACUACGUGCCAGCAGCCGCGGUAAUACGUAGGGGGCAAGCGUUGUCCGGAAUGAUUGGGCGUAAAGGGCGCGUAGGUGGCCCGGUAAGUCUGAAGUGAAAGUCCUGCUUUUAAGGUGGGAAUUGCUUUGGAUACUGUCGGGCUUGAGUGCAGGAGAGGUAAGCGGAAUUCCCGGUGUAGCGGUGAAAUGCGUAGAGAUCGGGAGGAACACCAGUGGCGAAGGCGGCUUACUGGACUGUAACUGACGCUGAGGCGCGAAAGUGUGGGGAGCAAACAGGAUUAGAAACCCUUGUAGUCC